Molecule: long non-coding RNA, 3249 nt
Filed under: Chinchilla lanigera (long-tailed chinchilla)
Lineage: Eukaryota; Metazoa; Chordata; Mammalia; Rodentia; Chinchillidae
Description: lncRNA (ENSCLAG00000023019.1)
Source: RNAcentral
UGGGGGAUGGGCGGGGGGGGAGGGGGAGGAGAGCUGGCGGGAGUGGAAUUCCUGAGCAAUCGCUCAAGUCAACCCGGCCCUACCAUCUGCAGCGGCAGGAUCAACAUGCCUUCAAUUUGAUUCCUAUUCCGUUCCAAAUGCAAGGAAUGUGCGACAUAGUUAUUUGCAACAGUGUCCAAAGAGGCCAACAACUCAGUCGGAAUCCAGAGCCCAGCGGCACCAGAUUUCCUCGCUCUCUCUGGCUCUCUCUCUCUCUCUCUGUGUCUGUCGCUCUGUCUCUCUCACGCACACGCACACGCACACCAGAAUGCACUCCUUACCUUGGCCAGCUGUGGCGCCAGCGCGUCCCUGGCCUCCUGGCUGAGCGUCCGCUAGGGCGGUGGGGUGACACAGUGCGAGGCUCCGCAGAGACAUUCCCUCUGCAACCACCUGCAAACCAAGCCUCCCGGCCCGGCCAGUCUGACCGUGUGGAGUGGUCAGACCGGUGGUCCCCGACUGUCGGGGGUUGCUACUGCACACCCCGUGGGUUGGGAAGAGACAGAGAGAGUUCUUUCUCGGACUCCUUGGGGAUCACAGAUAAUCUCGCAUUUCGCAAAAGAUCUGCGCAACAAGCUGAGUGGGCUUCGCCCGGUCUCGACGCUGCGGGAAAGGAAUCAUAGAUCUCACGCAGACGCUGAACCGGCACGCACCACGCGUUCCGCCUUUUAAAGUCUGCAGACCUAUGGCACAAACAAAUUCCCAACUGAAGUGGUAACCCCAGGUCUCCUCAGUUUGGACUGGGGAGUCUCCCUGGAGUUCCCUGGCACUGGUCCCACACAGUUCAGGCCUGAAUCAGCGUCUAGGUUUUGUGGGAACUACUCCCAUUUAGCACUGGAAACGCCACCUUCCCUUGUAUGCAUGGAGGGGAAGAGUGAGUGGGUGACGUAGUGUUUCAGCCUCCAAGCACUUUUUGGGGGGGGGGGCGGGGAGACCCGUUACAGUCAAGACACAGUCGCAGCCAAAACAAAAUUUCCAACACACACUGCCCCAAGGUGCCUGCACUGUACGUUUGCUAGCUGCCUGGGUGUGAGCAGCUUGCCCCAGACUCAGAGUUUAGCAAGCACCGGGCAAUUAUGAACACGGUAAUUUGACUCCUGCGCCCCUCCAUCCCCUCCCAUCAACCCUUCUCUCCAUUUUGGCAACACUGCCCCCAGGCGCUUAGACACUUCUACUACAGCAGGCACUCCUCCCUCUCAAAUAACAUUCGCAGUUCACCUGGAGGCCUAGGAUGUCUCCUUCAAAGAACUGACUAAAGGGAUGGAGGUGGUGGCUCUCAGUGCCUUUAAGGAAGUGUUUGGGAGAUUGGCAGGGCCUUGAGGCUCUUGUGUGGGCAGCCACCUGUUUCCACGGAUGCUCAAGACUGGAACUUCCUGGGACCCGCGCAGUGUGGUAAAGCUGAUCCAGGUAAGCAAAUUCCAAUCGGUUCAAAAGAUUAACUCGGAGAAUUAGCUGUCAGUCACCAACAACUCGGUGUACAGAACAGGAUCCUGGGCUUUUCAUCUUUGCUAUACACCUAUAAAGAUUACACACCCUACCUACUCUCUUGGGGGGGAUAAUCAAGAUGUACAAAGUAAAACACAAGUGAGCAGAGACAACAUUCUAUCUUCUAAGCGAUCCACAUCUUGGUUCCUGUCAGAUGCAUAUUCCUGGAACUGAUGGACAACAUAUGGGGGGUGAACCAGACCCACAGUUACACUUGUAGCAAUUACAAUUAAUAUACUAAUUGAGUAGUGUUUAGGAACUUAAGGACAUGAAAUAGUGAGUGGCUCCACUGGGCUUGAUCAAGGAAAACUUCUUGGAGGUGAAUUUUGAGCAGGUUGCAAAUGAAGGGAGAGGCUCAGAUUCAAAGACGGAAAUGAAGGCAGGGACUCUGACUGAGGGGAAAGACCAGAAGAGGGGAAAUUUGAGAGGGUGGAGACAGCAAAUAACUGGAUACUUCUAGAACUCGAAAGCAUCCUGGUCUCUGCGCUUCUGGGAUAGAAGCAGGGCGCUGCAGAGAGGGAGGGCUGCAGUACUACAGGAAGGCUGCUGGAGUGGGGUGCAGGCUAUGCCAAUGAUGAGAUUUCAGAUUCUCAAGGCUGUGGGUUGCAGGGGUUGUUGUUUACGUAGAAAUUUACUUGGCAGCAAGCAGAUGGAGCAGUAAGAGAUAUUGGGGUUGUGACACUCGGUGGCCAGGAGGCUUUUGGUUCGAGGGAGCUCUCAGAUGUACUCUAUUUUUAAAAAUCAAUUCUGUGACCGUAGGCAAUAUUUAUUCACACAAUGCCUUCUACAACCCUUUUUAAUGAGAAGAGAAACAACUCUGAGAUGUUCCCUCUUUAUUCAGCAAGUACUGACUGCUUCCAAGUUUUUAAAAUUGUGAUAGGCACAUUUUCAAGUACCUGCUAUAGUUUUUAACCAGCUCGUGAUGUCUGACUAUUUUCAUGUGUUGAUUUACUAAACAAAACCGGCAUAAGAUGGUCAUAUGUUCCCAGGCACACCGAAGGCAAGCCCUGAAUUGUACCCUAAUUACAACAGAGUACAAUUUUCCCCUUCUAAAAUAGAACAACCACCAAGAAAAUGUCUUAAACAGCUACAAUAAGCUGCCUUUUAAGAUCCCUGGCUAUACCUUUAGAGAGCCUACAGGUAUGUUUGGUUUAAAUAGGUGUGGAUUUUAUUAAGUCAAAUUGACAUUGAAGAUAAAUUGAGGGGUAAUUCUUCAUUUGGAAAGCAUUUACCCAGGAGUUCUUUAAAAUAGUUAACUCUCCAAGUGCAACCAGGUAUCAUUUUAUUUUAUAUAUAGUAAUUAUGGUCCUUACAGUGUAAAAUAAGGGUGACUGUGCAGAUGUGAGGGGACAGAGGAUAGCUAUUCAACCGAGUGAUGGGAGAGAUUUCAUAGCAAUUUUAUCCAAAGAAAAUCUGACUUGGAGGCUAGGCCCCUGUGGGGAUGUAGGAUCUUGGGGUUUCUCAACUGACUGAAUUUUCAGUUCAGGUUCUAAAGCAAAGGAAAAAAAUAGAUUUCCAAAUGACACUAUGUGGUUUGCUGAGUCACUUUUCUGACCUGGCUCUUGUGCUUUUAAGAUUUAGAGUGAUAUUUGCAAAGAAGACCCAAGAGCUGUGAAUAAGAUUAAAGGUCAGUUGGUAGGGAAGGCACAAGUGUGGGUUAAGCAAACAUCGGAAAAACCGUGCAUACAUAUACUUUCCUCCAGUUUAGUCUCAAAGGUUACAUGUGGG